AGCGAACGCUGGCGGCAGGCUUAACACAUGCAAGUCGAGCGGGCAUAGCAAUAUGUCAGCGGCAGACGGGUGAGUAACGCGUGGGAACGUACCUUUUGGUUCGGAACAACACAGGGAAACUUGUGCUAAUACCGGAUAAGCCCUUACGGGGAAAGAUUUAUCGCCGAAAGAUCGGCCCGCGUCUGAUUAGCUAGUUGGUGAGGUAAUGGCUCACCAAGGCGACGAUCAGUAGCUGGUCUGAGAGGAUGAUCAGCCACAUUGGGACUGAGACACGGCCCAAACUCCUACGGGAGGCAGCAGUGGGGAAUAUUGGACAAUGGGCGCAAGCCUGAUCCAGCCAUGCCGCGUGAGUGAUGAAGGCCCUAGGGUUGUAAAGCUCUUUUGUGCGGGAAGAUAAUGACGGUACCGCAAGAAUAAGCCCCGGCUAACUUCGU
This 434-nucleotide ribosomal RNA is filed under the name uncultured bacterium. RNAcentral describes it as "partial 16S ribosomal RNA". It matches the Rfam family "Bacterial small subunit ribosomal RNA", at positions 29 to 506 of the family's 1533-position model. The record is from RNAcentral.